CUGCCGCAGUUGCUGCCGUUGCUGUUGCUGCCGUUGCUGUUGCUACCAUUGCUACCGUUGCUAUUGCUGUUGCUGUUGCUG
This 81-nucleotide small RNA is filed under the name Drosophila guanche. The record is from RNAcentral. Lineage: Eukaryota; Metazoa; Arthropoda; Insecta; Diptera; Drosophilidae.